GUAUUCGUUUGCGGGGGCAGUAACGUCGAGUACACGGAAAAGGAUAUCGGUCCUCGCUUCUCGCAUUCGCUUGUGUUCUAUUCGCUUCUCAACGCGACCGUAAUCUUUCGGACGGGAAGAAAGAAGAAGACGAACGAGAGAAUAUCACGAUCCUAGCGCGAAGAAUCGACAUGUGCUCGUUCGUGAACCGCAGAACUAACAACGUGCAGAGAUGAUGUUGAAAUGUUUUCAGAGCACCCAAUUAUAUGAUUUUUAUGUAAUUACCGAGUUAUAAGGGUUCAAAGUUAUUGACUACAAGAACAUUGUUGUGUGCCUGCGGACAUAGAGUACGUUUCGCUUUGGAAAUUUCUCAUUACUGGGUAAAGGGAACGAUGAAAAGUAAUUGGGGAUAAUGACUAAUCAUCAGCUUUACCGUACCAAGGAUUAAAAACGUCCCAAAGUAAUUAGGGUUUUAUGAUGGUAUUGUAUGGCGAGUCGACGGCAGUAAUCCUAAUAGAACACAAAACAGACCGGUACCAGUUGUACAAAUGGCGAAGAUAUUGAAAUUAUCAUUGUUAUAAUACUGCUUUACUAGGUAGAUCAAUAUAAACAAACUGUUUUCGAGGAAGUUAAAGAACUUCAAAAAAUCAUAAAACAGUAAUACAUGAAAGUUACAGAUAUGUUACUGGCAUU
Long non-coding RNA from Nomia melanderi (Alkali bee), 672 nucleotides. RefSeq lists it as uncharacterized. NCBI's taxonomy places the organism in Eukaryota, Metazoa, Arthropoda, Insecta, Hymenoptera, Halictidae. The record is from RefSeq and is a predicted model, not a curated record.